This 366-nucleotide ribosomal RNA is filed under the name Staphylococcus delphini. RNAcentral's name for it is "bacterial SSU rRNA". It matches the Rfam family "Bacterial small subunit ribosomal RNA", at positions 1014 to 1380 of the family's 1533-position model. Lineage: Bacteria; Bacillati; Bacillota; Bacilli; Caryophanales; Staphylococcaceae. The record is from RNAcentral.
UCCUCUUCGGAGGACAAAGUGACAGGUGGUGCAUGGUUGUCGUCAGCUCGUGUCGUGAGAUGUUGGGUUAAGUCCCGCAACGAGCGCAACCCUUGAACUUAGUUGCCAUCAUUUAGUUGGGCACUCUAAGUUGACUGCCGGUGACAAACCGGAGGAAGGUGGGGAUGACGUCAAAUCAUCAUGCCCCUUAUGAUUUGGGCUACACACGUGCUACAAUGGACAAUACAAAGGGUAGCAAAACCGCGAGGUCAAGCAAAUCCCAUAAAGUUGUUCUCAGUUCGGAUUGUAGUCUGCAACUCGACUACAUGAAGCUGGAAUCGCUAGUAAUCGUAGAUCAGCAUGCUACGGUGAAUACGUUCCCGGGUC